This 465-nucleotide ribosomal RNA is filed under the name Vreelandella stevensii. RNAcentral describes it as "partial 16S ribosomal RNA". It matches the Rfam family "Bacterial small subunit ribosomal RNA", at positions 338 to 795 of the family's 1533-position model. Lineage: Bacteria; Pseudomonadati; Pseudomonadota; Gammaproteobacteria; Oceanospirillales; Halomonadaceae. The record is from RNAcentral.
CCUACGGGGGGCAGCAGUGGGGAAUAUUGGACAAUGGGCGAAAGCCUGAUCCAGCCAUGCCGCGUGUGUGAAGAAGGCCUUUGGGUUGUAAAGCACUUUCAGUGGGGAAGAAAGCCUUGGGGCUAAUACCCUCGAGGAAGGACAUCACCCACAGAAGAAGCACCGGCUAACUCCGUGCCAGCAGCCGCGGUAAUACGGAGGGUGCGAGCGUUAAUCGGAAUUACUGGGCGUAAAGCGCGCGUAGGCGGUCUGAUAAGCCGGUUGUGAAAGCCCCGGGCUCAACCUGGGAACGGCAUCCGGAACUGUCAGGAUAGAGUGCAGGAGAGGAAGGUAGAAUUCCCGGUGUAGCGGUGAAAUGCGUAGAGAUCGGGAGGAAUACCAGUGGCGAAGGCGGCCUUCUGGACUGACACUGACGCUGAGGUGCGAAAGCGUGGGUAGCAAACAGGAUUAGAUACCCGAGUAGUC